UCGUUGGUCUAGGGGUAUGAUUCUCGCUUUGGGUGCGAGAGGUCCCGGGUCCAAAUCCCGGACGAGCCCGGAAUUGGUCUUUUAAAAAAGGCAAUAGAUGUGAUUAGUCAAACGAAAUAUUUCUAUACGAAAACGUUACUUCCAAAUUUAUUCAACUAACGUAGAGUCUAGAGAUGCGCUUGUCGAAAUCUCUCGCCCAGCUAUUUGCAAUUAUUUCCCGUUGACAUGUAACUUUCACCCUUUUGUCGGCUCGUUGGUCUAGGGGUAUGAUUCUCGCUUAGGGUGCGAGAGGUCCCGGGUCCAAAUCCCGGACGAGCCCGGAAGUGCUCUUUUGAAAAGUCAAUAGAUGUGAUUAGUAAAAUGAAAUAUGUCCGUACGAAAAGGUCACUUCCAAAUUUAUUCAACUAACGUAGAGUCUAGAGAUGCGCUUGUCGAAUUCUCUCGCCCAGCUAUUUGCAAUUAUUUCCCGUUGACAUGUAACUUUCACCCUUUUGUCGGCUCGUUGGUCUAGGGGUAUGAUUCUCGCUUAGGGUGCGAGAGGUCCCGGGUCCAAAUCCCGGACGAGCCCGGAAUUGGUCUUUUGAAACAGUCAAUGGCUGUGAUUAGUCAAACGAAAUAUUUCUAUACGAAAACGUUACUUCCAAAUUUAUUCAACUAACGUAGAGUCUAGAGAUGCGCUUGUCGAAUUCUCUCGCCCAGCUAUUUGCAAUUAUUUCCCGUUGACAUGUAACUUUCACCCUUUUGUCGGCUCGUUGGUCUAGGGGUAUGAUUCUCGCUUCGGGUGCGAGAGGUCCCGGGUUCAAAUCCCGGACGAGCCCGAUGGAACUUGUUUGAUGCUGUUAGCGGUUGUAAUUUGUAAAUGAUGACAAAAAAGUUACUCCCCAAUUUGGUCAGUGAACGACCAUAUUGCUAGUUUGUUUCCAAAAAAUAGGCAAACACAACAAACUAGUGAAAAAAAAACAAGCAAUUUGUUGACCACGGAUACGCUGAUUCAAUUCUCUUGCCUGGCCAAAUAGGAUUUUGUCCCAUGGACAUAGCAUUAAUAGUUUUUGUCGGCUCGUUGGUCUAGGGGUAUGAUUCUCGCUUUGGGUGCGAGAGGUCCCGGGUCCAAAUCCCGGACGAGCCCGGGAUUGGUCUUUUGAAAGUCAAUAGAUGUGAUAAGUAAAAUGAAAUAUGUCUAUACGAAAAUUUAACUUCCAAAUUUUUUCAACUAACGUAGAGUCUAGAGAUGCUCUUGUCGAUAUCUCUCGCCCAGCUAUUUGCAAUUAUUUCCCGUUGACAUGUAACUUUCACCCUUUUGUCGGCUCGUUGGUCUAGGGGUAUGAUUCUCGCUUUGGGUGCGAGAGGUCCCGGGUCCAAAUCCCGGACGAGCCCGGAAUUGGUCUUUUGAAACAGUCAAUAGAUGUGAUUAGUAAAAUGAAAUAUGUCUAUACGAAAAUGUUACUUCCAAAUUUAUUCAAUUAACGUAGAGUCUAGAGAUGCGCUUGUCGAUAUCUCUCGCUCAGCUAUUUGCAAUUAUUUCCCGUUGACAUGUAACUUUCACCCUUUUGUCGGCUCGUUGGUCUAGGGGUAUGAUUCUCGCUUAGGGUGCGAGAGGUCCCGGGUCCAAAUCCCGGACGAGCCCGGAAUUGGUCUUUUGAAAAAGUCAAUAGAUGUGAUUAGUAAAAUGAAAUAUGUCUAUACGAAAAUGUUACUUCCAAAUUUAUUCAAUUAACGUAGAGUCUAGAGAUGCGCUUGUCGAUAUCUCUCGCCCAGCUAUUUGCAAUUAUUUUCCGUUGUCAUGUAACUUUCACCCUUUUGUCGGCUCGUUGGUCUAGGGGUAUGAUUCUCGCUUAGGGUGCGAGAGGUCCCGGGUCCAAAUCCCGGACGAGCCCGGAAGUGCUCUUUUGAAACAGUCAAUGGCUGUGAUUAGUCAAACAAAAUAUGUCGGAAUGAAAAUGUUACAUCCAAAUUUAUUCAAUUAACGUAGAGUCUAGAGAUGCUCUUGUCGAUAUCUCUCGCCCAGCUAUUUGCAAUUAUUUCCCGUUGACAUGUAACUUUCACCCUUUUGUCGGCUCGUUGGUCUAGGGGUAUGAUUCUCGCUUAGGG
This is a long non-coding RNA of Gasterosteus aculeatus aculeatus (three-spined stickleback), 2088 nucleotides long. The record is from Ensembl. NCBI's taxonomy places the organism in Eukaryota, Metazoa, Chordata, Actinopteri, Perciformes, Gasterosteidae.